UUGGUCAGCGAUGGCUGUUGUGUUGUGGAAGGAGAUUUUGACCAGACUGGUGUUGGGAUGCUACUGGAACAGCCUAUCCUGUGGCUUUGUGUUUGAUAAUGUCUCAGCCAUUCUGGACAACAAGGACCUGUGGCCCGCCACCCCACUCUGCAACCUGUUCUUCAAUGACUUCUGGGGCAUGCCCAUGUCUUAGGUGACUGGUGUUGUAGGAAGAGCGGAGCUCCUGUCCUCCAUCUUUCUCCUGGCAGCGUUCCUGGCCUACACCAGAUCUAAAGGAGCCGACCACUCCAUCGUGUGGACGCCCAUUGCUGUGACCGUGGUUUUGGUGGCUGCAGCCACAUUAUGCAAAGAGCAGGGGAUCACAGUCAUUGGCAUCUGCUGUGUCCAUGAGGUGUUUGUUUCACAAGGGUUCACACUACCCAUGCUGCUGGACACCCUCCUCCAGGUGCUGAGGGGUAAAGAUGGUUUCCCCUACGUCGUCCUGCAGACACUCCUCAAGCUCGUAAUCCUCAUCAUCAGCACCUUGCUGCUGGUCAUCAUCAGGGUACAGGUCAUCCAAUCACAGCUUCCCGUCUUUACCAGGUUCUCUCUCUCUCUCUCUCUCAACCCCACUUUGGCCAGGCAACUGACUUUCAACUACCUGUUGCCAGUGAACACCUGGCUCCUUCUCAACCCAUCAGAGCUGUGCUGUGACUGGACAAUGGGGACCAUUCCUCUGGUGGAGAGCCCUCUGACCUGAGGAACCUGGCCUGCUGGCCUAUCACAGCCUGCGCCACUCAAACUCCUCCGCCAAGACCGUCCUCAUGUCUCUCUCUUUGAUCGUGCUCCCCUUCAUCCCAGCCUCCAACCUCUUCUUCCCCGUGGGCUUCGUGGUGGCAGAGAGGGUCCCCAGUAUGGGAUUCUGUGUUCUCGUGGCACACGGCUAUAGGAUUGUCUCCCACAAAGGGUGAGUAGUACAGUAGUUAGCUUGGUCCCAGAUCUGUUUGUGUUUGCUCCUCACCACACACGCAGUCAAGACCUUCAACAGAAACUGGGACUGGGAAUCUGAAUACACGCUUUUCACCUCUGCCCUGAAACACGUAUCAAAGCUGCAGGCUAAAGUUAAAUCUAGACUUGGUCAUGUCAUGGAGAAGGAAACAUCUAAACCCAUGUGCUUACCCAUGUGCAUUCUCAUGUGGCAUGUCCCUGCAGAUGACAUCGGAGCCCAUAUGAAUGUGGGAAGAACCUACAAAAACCUGAACAAGUCCAAGGAGGCUGAGGAAGCCAACCUGGUUGCCAAAUCCCUCAUGCCACAGGUACUGUAUGUCACAAGGCCAACAACGCCUCAGCGCCCAGGUAAGAAGUACGCCACCCGAGUGGCCCAACCACCUGAACGUGUACAUUAACCUGGCGAACCUGAUUCGUACCAAUGACUCACGCCUGGAGGAGGCUGACCAACUCUACAGACAGGCCAUCAGCAUGAGGCCUGACUUCAAGCAAGCCUACAUCAGCAGAGGGGAGCUGCUGCUGAAGAUGAACAAGCCAUCCGAGGCCCGGGGUGCCUACCUGCGGGCCCUGGAGCUGGACAGAACCAACGCUGACCUCUGGUACAACCUGGCCAUCGUCAACAUUGAGAUAAAGGAGCCUUCAGGGGCCCUGAAGAACUUCAACUACGCCCAGGAGCUCAAACCACACCACAAACUGUCCCUCUUCAACUCUGCCCUGCUCAUAAAGGAAUCCAGUGAGCCCAGGUUCUUUCAGGAGGCCAACUGUCAUUUCCUGACCUACAUCCAGGAGGAGCCAGAUAAUGCCAACGGCUACUUCAACCUGGGGAUGCUUGCCAUGGACGCCAACGAGAAUGCUGCAACCGAGCGCUAGAUGAGGGAGGCCAUCCGUCUACAGACGGGCUUCCGCAGCGCCCUCUUCAACCUGGCCCUGCUCUACUCGCAGUCUCAACAGGAGGUGGAUGCCCAGCCUGUAUAAGACGAGCUACUGCACCACCACCCAGAGCAUGUUAAAGGUUUGAUUCUCAUGGGGGAUAUCCUGAUGAACCACAAGAAGGACAUCGAGGGUGCCAAGAUCUGCUUCUAGAGGAUCCUCCGUAUGGACCCCACCAACAUGCAAGGGAAACACAACCUGUGUGUGGUCUACUUCGAGGAGCAAGACCUGCCGAGAGCGAAGCGCUGCCUGGAGGAAAUGCUUGCCAUGGCACCCAACGAGGAGUACGUAUGCCGCCACCCGGGCAUCGUGCGCGGCAAGAUGGCGGCAGCCAUGUCUGCAGCGGGGCAGCCGCUGAGCCCAGCUUCAGCAGAGGGCGCUGCUACGCUAGCGAAGGCGGAGGUAAAUAAGCUGGGUAAGGAGGAGGAAGGGAGUGGAGCCACCGACAGCGAUAGGGUUGGGGAGGGUGCCGGGAAUAAGAAGAAUGCACGGAAAUCCUCCUCGGCAGAAAGCUUUCGAGGUGGCGGCGACAGCCAAUCAGAGCAUCUGAACGGCAGCCAGGCUGACAAACAGCUGAGGACUAAGAGCAAAUCCACAAAAGAGAUUAAAGAUAUAGAGAAGAAACGGGCAACCGCCUUGAAGAAACUGGAGGAGAUUGACUUCAUAUUAUGCGGUGAUUAACCUUGUUGUUAUUUACCGCAGUGCAGGACACAUUUUUGUAGAGCUAUUAACAGCUCCUGAAUCACAGGUGUGAUGCGUCCUAAAUUGCACCCUAUAAUAACAUAUACAAAACAUUAAGAACACCUGCUCUUUCCAUGACAUAGACUGGCCAGGUGAAUCCAGUUGAAAGCUAUGCGCCCUUAUUGAUGGCACUUAUUAAAUCCACUUCAGUCAGUCUAAAUGAAUGGGAGGAGAGAGGUGAAAAUAUUUUUUAAGCCUUGAGCCAAUUGAGGGUGAAUGGGCAAGACAAAAUAUUUAAGUGCCUUUGAACAGGGUAUGGUAGUAGGUGCCAGGCACACUGGUUUGU
This is a long non-coding RNA of Salmo salar (Atlantic salmon), 2944 nucleotides long. RefSeq annotates it as protein O-mannosyl-transferase TMTC3. The record is from RefSeq and is a predicted model, not a curated record. Lineage: Eukaryota; Metazoa; Chordata; Actinopteri; Salmoniformes; Salmonidae.